CCGCUCAGCCUAUCGCCGACCGAGUCGGACUUCACUGCGGCUGGUGAUUGGCUGAGGGCAGUAUGACUCAUCCAACCACCGGCAACCAGGAAGAGGAUCCCGGCGGAGACCGGAGUGGGUUACCGGAGGCCCCGGAGGAGCGGAGGAAGUUUACGUCACAUGCCUUGAGAUAUGUGAACACAACAAUCAUUUUCCACUGGUGCUGGAUUGGCCAACCAUCUGGGGCCUCCUGACAACGGCAGAUGAGGGAUUGAAGGCGGGAGCAAUUGGAUUUCAACAUACCUGAUCUUUUUGUCUUAGAGAUAAGCAACCACCAGAUAUAUUUCCCUCUACCCAUUCAGUGGAGAACAGCGGUGAGGAAGAGUCCCUCGGAACACAGAUGGGUUCAGUGGCGCUAACCAGCAAAUGAUGCAACUGAUACUGGACUGAUAAGCAAAUAUAGUAACAAAUUUAUUUGAAUGGACAAUGCAUUUCGAGAGCUGCUCCUCUCUUCAUCAGGUCCUUACACAUAAAUACAUAUAUGUACAUAUAUCUAUGAAUGAUCCAAUGGUGAUAAAUAGAGAUGAGCGAGCCGAAUCGGAUGAAAUCGGAUUUGACCAAAACUCUAGGGUUUUUUCAGGCUCGGUGAACACUCAAGCUUUUAACGAUUUAUCUCGUGUGAGUCGGUAAAUAGCGCAAAAAACUUGAAACCAUGUUUUUUUGGCGGACAGAAGAAGCAAAGCAGGGUGUGGUGAGAUGACGUAGGGAAAGCAGCACAUCACAUGACAACCCAGGUCUCUCAUGUGAUUUGCUGCUUACUGUGUUAACCAAGCACAAAGGCCAACAGGACACAGCCAGGGACACAGAUAAAAGCACUGACGUCACCCACAGCGUUCAGAGCACUGGGAACUUCUGCAGAGAGCAAACAGAGAGGAGAGAGACAGACAUAGGGACAGUUAGUGGUUAGAAAGAGAGACUGAGAUACAGAUUACAAAGAGAGAAGAAAAAGGGACAGUAAGUUAUUAGAAAGAGAGAGGAGACGGUGUGUGUGUGUGUGUGUAUGUGUGUGUGAACAGGAUUCAAUCCCUACACAAGAAGAAUCCUAUAGGGCUUCUAUACACCAAAACAGCAUAUAAGGAGGGAACAUCUUAACCCCUUAAAAACCCCUAUUUUUUGCACAUCUGACCAUUGUCACUUUAAACAUUAAUAACUCUGGAAUGCUUUUAGUUAUCAUUCUGAUUCCGAGAAAGUUUUUUCGUGACAUAUUCUACUUUAACAUAGUGGUAAAAUUUUGUGCUAACUUGGAUCCUUUCUUGGUGAAAA
Long non-coding RNA from Hyla sarda, 1302 nucleotides. RefSeq lists it as uncharacterized. NCBI's taxonomy places the organism in Eukaryota, Metazoa, Chordata, Amphibia, Anura, Hylidae. The transcript is spliced from 3 exons. The record is from RefSeq and is a predicted model, not a curated record.